RNAcentral lists this ribosomal RNA (651 nucleotides) under Mycena sp. AJM-2007b. RNAcentral describes it as "eukaryotic LSU rRNA". It matches the Rfam family "Eukaryotic large subunit ribosomal RNA", at positions 38 to 667 of the family's 3401-position model. Lineage: Eukaryota; Fungi; Basidiomycota; Agaricomycetes; Agaricales; Mycenaceae. The record is from RNAcentral.
GCAUAUCAAUAAGCGGAGGAAAAGAAACUAACAAGGAUUCCCCUAGUAACUGCGAGUGAAGCGGGAAAAGCUCAAAUUUAAAAUCUGGCGGUUCUUGCAGUCGUCCGAGUUGUAAUUUAGAGAAGUGUUAUCCGCGCUGGACCGUAUACAAGUCUCCUGGAAUGGAGCGUCAUAGAGGGUGAGAAUCCCGUCUUUGAUACGGACUACCAGGGCUUUGUGAUGCGCUCUCGAAGAGUCGAGUUGUUUGGGAAUGCAGCUCAAAAUGGGUGGUAAAUUCCAUCUAAAGCUAAAUAUUGGCGAGAGACCGAUAGCGAACAAGUACCGUGAGGGAAAGAUGAAAAGAACUUUGGAAAGAGAGUUAAACAGUACGUGAAAUUGUUGAAAGGGAAACGCUUGAAGUCAGUCGCGUUGGCCGGGGAUCAACCUUGCUCUUUUGCUUGGCGUACUUCCCAGUCGACGGGUCAGCAUCAGUUUUGACUGUUGGAUAAAGGUUAGGGGAAUGUGGCAUCUUCGGAUGUGUUAUAGCCUCUGGUCGUAUACAGCAGUUGGGACUGAGGAACUCAGCACGCCGCAAGGCCGGGUCUUUGACCACGUACCGUGCUUAGGAUGCUGGCAUAAUGGCUUUAAUCGACCCGUCUUGAAACACGGACC